This 345-nucleotide ribosomal RNA is filed under the name uncultured soil bacterium. Its description in RNAcentral is "bacterial SSU rRNA". It matches the Rfam family "Bacterial small subunit ribosomal RNA", at positions 26 to 373 of the family's 1533-position model. The record is from RNAcentral.
AGAUUGAACGCUGGCGGCAGGCCUAACACAUGCAAGUCGAGCGGUAGAGAGGUGCUUGCACCUCUUGAGAGCGGCGGACGGGUGAGUAAUGCCUAGGAAUCUGCCUAGUGGUGGGGGAUAACGUUCGGAAACGGACGCUAAUACCGCAUACGUCCUACGGGAGAAAGCGGGGGACCUUCGGGCCUCGCGCCAUUAGAUGAGCCUAGGUCGGAUUAGCUAGUUGGUGAGGUAAUGGCUCACCAAGGCGACGAUCCGUAACUGGUCUGAGAGGAUGAUCAGUCACACUGGAACUGAGACACGGUCCAGACCUCCUACGGGAGCAGCAGUGGGGAAUAUUGGACAAGU